CCUACGGGUGGCUGCAGUAACGAAUCUUCCGCAAUGCACGAAAGUGUGACGGAGCGACGCCGCGUGGAGGACGAAGUUCUUCGGAAUGUAAACUCCUGUCAGGGGCGGUGCCCCAGAGGAAGGCACGGCUAACUCUGUGCCAGCAGCCGCGGUAAGACAGAGGUGCCGAGCGUUAGGCGGAAUCACUGGGCUUAAAGCGUGUGUAGGCGGGCGGGCAAGUACCUUGUGAAAUCCCACGGCUCAACCGUGGAACUGCUGGGUAUACUGCCUGUCUUGAGCCAGCCAGGGGCAGGCGGAACAGACGGUGGAGCGGUGAAAUGCGUGAUAUCGUCUGGAACGCCAAAGGUGAAAACAGACUGCUGGCUGUGCUGACGCUGAGACACGAAAGCCAGGGGAGGAACGGGAUUAGAUACCCUUGUAGUC
Molecule: ribosomal RNA, 423 nt
Filed under: uncultured bacterium
Lineage: Bacteria
Description: partial 16S ribosomal RNA
Rfam family: Bacterial small subunit ribosomal RNA
Source: RNAcentral